RNAcentral lists this long non-coding RNA (664 nucleotides) under Salvia miltiorrhiza (redroot sage). RNAcentral's name for it is "long non-coding RNA (SMIL_LNC005109)". The record is from RNAcentral. Lineage: Eukaryota; Viridiplantae; Streptophyta; Magnoliopsida; Lamiales; Lamiaceae.
UUCGCUCUCAAUUUCCAUCGAAGCUUGAGCGAGCCCUAAUUUUUCCCUUCUUGAGGUGCCGCUGCCGCCGCCGCUGCAACUGGAAGUCCGACGUGAUUCGCCGCGCCGCUGCACCCGUAGCGGCGUCCGCUGGUCGUCAGGUCGCCGACUGCUGCUGUUUCUCAGAUUCCGACAAGGCAGCUCGCCGUCGUCGCUUCCUUGAGCUCGACUAAACAGGACAGUCGGCUUCCCCCCUCAAAAGCUAACUUCAACAAUCCUAUGAUAUUCUGUUUUCGAUCAUAUAUUAUGCUCUUCGAUUUGCUGCUAUUCUCAUAGCUCGUGAAAUCUUGGUUAUUCUAUACUCUUGUUAUGAAAUGCUGUGGUUUUGCUACUGAUUAUGCAAAUUCUCAAUGCUAUUGAAUUGUGUGUGAGCUUAUAGGUUGUUGGUUGUUCUAGGUGACUACCGAUUAUGUUGUUCUUUCUGUACUAACUCAAGCUCAUUCUAAAUUACAUAAGUGUGUGACUUUGCUAAGUCCAUUAUGCAAAUAUACAUCUAUACACAGUCUGCUCUUUCUAAUUAAUCGUGCUUGUUAGAUGAUAUGCGAACUGGAUGGAUAUUUGGUAUAGAAUUAAUACCUUGAAGUAUAAAUGUUGGUUGACUGUUGUUGCUGAGUUGAAUGAAUUG